RNAcentral lists this ribosomal RNA (468 nucleotides) under uncultured bacterium. Its description in RNAcentral is "partial 16S ribosomal RNA". It matches the Rfam family "Bacterial small subunit ribosomal RNA", at positions 28 to 507 of the family's 1533-position model. The record is from RNAcentral.
GACGAACGCUGGCGGCGUGCUUAACACAUGCAAGUCGAACGGAAAGGCCUUGCUUUUGUGGGGUACUCGAGUGGCGAACGGGUGAGUAACACGUGAGUAACCUGCCCUUGACUUUGGGAUAACUUCAGGAAACUGGGGCUAAUACCGGAUACGAGCUCCUGCUGCAUGGUGGGGGUUGGAAAGUUUCGGCGGUUGGGGAUGGACUCGCGGCUUAUCAGCUUGUUGGUGGGGUAGUGGCUUACCAAGGCUUUGACGGGUAGCCGGCCUGGGAGGGUGACCGGCCACAUUGGGACUGGGAUACGGGCCAGACUCCUACGGGAGGCAGCAGUGGGGAAUAGUGCACAAUGGGCGGAAGCCUUAUGCAGCAACGCCGCGUGCUGGAUGACGGCCUUCGGGUUGUAAACCGCUUUCGCCUGUGACGAAGCGUGAGUGACGGUAAUGGGUAAAGAAGCACCGGCUAACUACGUG